Molecule: long non-coding RNA, 1854 nt
Filed under: Equus caballus (horse)
Lineage: Eukaryota; Metazoa; Chordata; Mammalia; Perissodactyla; Equidae
Description: lncRNA (ENSECAG00000033187.3)
Source: RNAcentral
CUGCCCUUGUGACCUCAAACAGGGAGUGCUCUGAUAGAAAAAAAUGAACAGUGCAUUCACUUCUCACCUCUGACAGCUGGCCUGAGAUUGAUAUCUGCCAUUUCUGCCUUCACUAGGGUAUCAGGUAAUGAGAGCUGGUAAAGGAUUUGGUGAUGUCAGAAUAAAAGCCUUUCAUAAUACUAAGAACUGUCAGAAUGCUUAAAAAUAUGACCAUGGGACGUCGUCACCAGCAAGAACUUUUUUGUGAGAUGUGAUGAGCAAGUGGAUAUCAACUCAUAUCAACACCAUGAAACACUGCACUGUUGGUCACGAAAGAGGAGAUACAUCACACCAGAGACGGAUGAAGCUAUUUGUGCCAUUUACAAUGCCAAGGAAACAGACAGGGUGCCUAUGGCCAUUAUUUCAAAGCUAUAAAACUUGUGUCUUUGCCCGCAGUGGAAUAUACUCUAAAUUGGUCACAGUCAAAAAGGAUUCAAAAAACCAUGAGAAAAAUAGAAGAAAGAAAACCUUCCCAGAUCAUUGUUGGACACACAUACAUGUACACAACUGAGUGAUAACAGAGAAGGAACUCAAGGAUCCCGAUGAUGUCAUUUGGAUCAUAUAAAACCAGAACCAUCCUGUGCCAAAGACCUUCCUGCUCGCUACUUUUACACUGAGUGAUGGAUAGGGCCUAUGAACUUCCACUUGCUCCAGUGGCUUCUCUAAGAUAGCCUGCAUUUGAGAAGGGAAAGAAGAUCCAGACAUAGACCUUACUAGCCACCCUGCUGGUGAUGAAUGUCUCCAGGCUGCAGGUGAAAACGGUGUCUGAGGCAGCUCAUGGAGGAAGCAUCUGUGAAGGCCCCACGGAGACAAAACGUUUGAGUGGGACCUUAAAAUAAAAGUAGAAUUUGGACCAUCGGACCUGAAGGAGAGUUGCAAGAACGUGUCUCCUCUUGGUGCUGUCAGUGCGCUGCACAGGGAUCAUGGGCUUGGGCAGCCGUGUGGGAUGAAAGCCUUCAGCCAGAGAUCCUCCUAUGGCACCCUUUCCAAUCAUGUUCUCAUUCCCUGGGCUCCAGUUUUAAGACAUAGAAGGCAGUUCGGUGCCGCUGCAGCUUAAGGAAGAUGGGGCCUGGACGAGACUGGAAAGGACCUCAGCUAAAGAAUUUGAACUCUAUUUUGCAAGCAUGAAGUGCAUGUAAAAUCUUGGGCAGGAAGGCAGAAACUGAGCCUUUUCAUUCUCUCUGAAAUCCUUUCCGCAUCCCUGGUUCAGAGAUAGAAGGCCACUGAAGUAACGUGCCAAGCUCUGUGCCAGGAACUGGGCAUACAAAAGUGAUGAAGACACAGUCACUGAUCUCAAGGAACUCGUAGCCUAGAGAUGAAGACAGACGCGUAAAUAAUAAUUACAAGGUGAGAAAACAGAAUGAUAAAGAAGGGAAGUCACAUUCCAAAGCUGCUCAAUUAGCUGUCACCUGAUGGCUGGCCAGAGUCAGUGCUGUGCUGGGCAGCUAGAACUCCAACAGAAAUCCAGCAGUCUUUCUGAGCUAAAGAACCAGAGACCAGUGUUUGGGGUAAGUACUACGAAGUGAGAGGGCAAGUCAGAAAAGAGAGAACCAGAGAGGGAAACCCCCAAAUUCUGUGUACAAAUUCUUCCUAAAUCUCUGGCUAUUCUCUGAGUUGUGCCUGCAGGAAACUGACUCAAAGCAGCUUGCCCAAAGGCAAAGUAUCUAAAGUCAAAUUAGAAUGGUUUUCCAAGACAAAAAAUUUGACUUUGAGCCCAACCAAUUUAACUGCCUCCUAAAACAAAAACAUCAAUACUUUUUGGAGGAAUAUAACAGAAACCAGAGUCUACACAACAUAACAUUUGCAAUGGCUGGG